This 464-nucleotide long non-coding RNA is filed under the name Equus caballus (horse). Its description in RNAcentral is "lncRNA (ENSECAG00000043981.1)". Lineage: Eukaryota; Metazoa; Chordata; Mammalia; Perissodactyla; Equidae. The record is from RNAcentral.
AAUAGUUCCACAGAGCUGCCGCUGUUUGCCCUCUGAGGGUUUUAAACUGGAAUCUCCAGAACCUCUUCUAAAUCAGAGCUGGGUCAAACGAUUUCACGAAGGAUCUACAGGAAAAAAAAUGAACUCACUAAAUAAUUUUUUAUUCCAUAUCUCGUUUCUAAAACCUCAUAAUUAAGAAAGAAACUGAAGAAAAGGUUAUAAAAGUUAACAUCCCUGUGAACAAUCUUCCUCUAUUUUGUAUGUGGGUCGCCACCAGAUCGUGGCUGACAAGUAGUGUAGGUCCGUGCCCAAGAUCCAAACCCAUGAACCUGGGCCACUGAAGCGGAGUGCAUGAACUUAAUCACUGUGCCGCAGGGCCAGCCCAGCCUUACUCUUUCAGUUUUAUAAGGAUUACAAGCUUGCCCCUUCUCUCCCCUACCACCAAAGCAUAACCUGUGUCCUACAGUCUGCUCCCAUUAUUUCCC